GCACUGACCCGUCAACUCCCGGUUUCCCGGCGCACGCCCCUCGUGAGAUGCUGUGGUCUUUUCUAGCAACGUCGACAGGCUUUCCAACAAAAUUCCUCUUUCCUGCGCAGAACCGCUCUCCACUCGCAUUUCUUCUGCUCAGAUCCGUAUUCCGAGCCCGCACGCAUACCAGGCUGUGCUCAGGGUCCGGAGGAGGCCGAUCCAGUACCCGUGGGCCCUGUCGGAGGUGAGCCAGCUGGGCGCGCGUUGUUUUCUGACGUGGCCUCGUUGUCUUUCAGGGUGUGUGUACAUUCGAAACUCCACUGAACCUUGAUUGAAGACCUACAGUGUGGCAGUCCAUGGCCUGGGGACUGAUGAUGUCUACCGUAGAAAAGCCUCAGAAAGACAGUAUCAGAGAAGGCUGGAAGAUGAAUGAGACUGAACUUCAGCAGUCAAUAAAGUCAAUAUGAAUUUUUA
RNAcentral lists this small RNA (456 nucleotides) under Pan troglodytes (chimpanzee). RNAcentral's name for it is "processed transcript". The record is from RNAcentral. Lineage: Eukaryota; Metazoa; Chordata; Mammalia; Primates; Hominidae.